RNAcentral lists this ribosomal RNA (1266 nucleotides) under Triticum aestivum (bread wheat). RNAcentral describes it as "partial small subunit ribosomal RNA". The record is from RNAcentral. Lineage: Eukaryota; Viridiplantae; Streptophyta; Magnoliopsida; Poales; Poaceae.
AUGACACAUUGGACUUUGCUAGAGUCCGGCCCGUCACAUCAUAGGACUCUGACACCUUCGACCCACUCACACCCCUCUCGGUCCUAUUCUCUUCCCACACUUCCCCUGCUUCCCCUUACUCUGCAUCCGCGCCCUUCUCCUUCGACGUUGUUGUUGUACCUUUCCGACCGCCUUCCAGGCAUUGUCAGACGUCCGGAUCCAUCACCCACGCACCCGCUCGCCUUGCACGACGACGACAUCCACCCAGGAUCCGUUCGGAGCCAGGCUCGAGUGCAAGGGGCGGGGCCCUUUUGGCAUCACGUGCGUGGUAGGUUUCACGCAUGGAAUCACAUUGCGCCCUACAACAUGCACAUCAUCCAUGAACACAAUAUGAAGUCGUUAGCAUAUCGAUGGUACACCUUCUUGAACACCGUCCUCAUGUUUUGUAGAGCGGUUUGUCGGCAGGAGAAGGUGACAACUGUGUUGAGCGGCUGCACAAACCAGGAAAGCAUACGAGAACUCUAUAUAAACACCAACAAACCAAUGGAACUCUUGGCAGUGAAGGCGCACACAAGGAAGAAGAACAAACACAAUAGUCCAGUGCCUCUUCUCGUCAUGGCCCUCGUCAACCGGAACAACAAGAGGAGGACCAUGGCUAUUGCUGUCCUAGUCCUUGUAAUGAUUUCUGCUUGUACCUUACCGUCCUGCCAUGCAAAGCGUGGUGACGCAUAUUGUGUCGAUAUUCCACAAGGACAUUUGUUGGGCAAAGAAUUAGGGGCGGAGAGAAAGACAUCCGGUCUCCUCCACCUCACAUCGCCGCCGCCAUCAGCCAGCCUCGUCUCCAGUGGCUUUAGGGCCAUGGAGGCACGGUGGAUCCUGACCCUUGCCGACUGUCCCGACAAUAUCAAGGCAUCAUGCACGCUGGCCAUUCUUUGUGAGGAACUCGCUGAGACAGUCAACGCCAAGGCCAUUCUGACACGCCGACGAUGCCUCCCUUCUCAUCGUGGGUAUGAGCUCCCUCCACGACCAAAUUGUGCCAUCAUGUCACUGGGGACAGAUGAUGAUGUGACACAGAAGCUGCUCAACUACAAGUAUAUACACAAUUUCUGGCAGCAGCAAAUGAGAAUAAUCAUUGGUUCACGUCACCACCACUGCCAGAAAGGAUGGCGAGUGCACCACUUCAUAGUGCCGACGAGGAAGGGGUGCCGACGAAGUUCAAACUGCCAGGGCAAGCGAAUGCACCUGGAAUGGGGCUGCAUCCUGGCAGUUAUUGAGGGGACGAGGUGA